This 72-nucleotide transfer RNA is filed under the name Felis catus (domestic cat). It matches the Rfam family "tRNA". From Rfam's summary of the family: Transfer RNA (tRNA) molecules are approximately 80 nucleotides in length. Lineage: Eukaryota; Metazoa; Chordata; Mammalia; Carnivora; Felidae. The record is from Rfam by way of RNAcentral. RNAcentral also lists the same sequence under 2 other names.
ACCUAGCUGGUUCAGUGGUAGAGCAUGUGACUCUUGAUCUCAGGGCUGUAAGUUCAAGCCCCAUGUUGGGUA